GGGGUGUUACAGAGGUGGUAUCAGAGCAUGGUUUCGUCCAUGCUUCCGGAACUCAUGAUUUAAUCGGUUUUAAAUAUUUAUCGAGUCAAAUUGAGUCACAAAAGGCAUUAGGGAAACCGGUCACGUCCAGCGAUAGGAUUUGUGGUUUUAGGAAUUAGGAUUGAGAUAGUGGAAUCUAGAAUUGCUAGGUUGCUUGGGUAGAACUGUUAGGUUGCUGGUUAGCAUUGCUAGGUUGUUGUUAGUACACUAUUGGGAUUAGUUGUCUACUAACUUGUGUGUGAGGUGUUCUUUUGAGUUGCAGCGAGUAAGUGUGUUUGUUGAUCGGAACUUUAAGGGAUGAAAACCUUAAAGUGGAGGGAGUUCAAGGCCAAACCCAAACCCGAAGCGAAAGAAGAGAAACAGAUUCAGAGAACUGGGCUGUGGUAUGGACUGGACAGAUGGGAAGAAACAAGACUUCAUUGGGGAAAGGACUUCACCAGUACUUGGGAAGACGAAGAUCGAGAAGGAUUUGAGGAAUCUGGACAAGGAUGAUAUCUAUCAAAAUGACAAGAUAGUAUCAUGGGCGAUGGGUGUGUUAUGACAGAGUAAAAGCAAGAGGACGAUUCAGUCAUCAUACAAGUGAAGAUAUAUAAAGACAGUUGUGGAGGCCUUGAAGAGGACACUGAAGGAACUGUCGUGGACAGAGUAAAGAGGUUAUGGAGACGAGUGGAGAAUGUUGUGAAGACGAGCAAUUGCGCAACUAAGAAUUCGAGGACGAAUUCUAUUAAGGGGAGGAGAAUGUAGAAACCCGUUAAAAAAAAAAAAAAAAAUGAAAAGAAAAGAGAGAGAAAGA
Long non-coding RNA from Brassica rapa (field mustard), 832 nucleotides. RefSeq lists it as uncharacterized. The record is from RefSeq and is a predicted model, not a curated record. Lineage: Eukaryota; Viridiplantae; Streptophyta; Magnoliopsida; Brassicales; Brassicaceae.